RNAcentral lists this ribosomal RNA (778 nucleotides) under uncultured Enterobacteriaceae bacterium. RNAcentral describes it as "bacterial SSU rRNA". It matches the Rfam family "Bacterial small subunit ribosomal RNA", at positions 722 to 1502 of the family's 1533-position model. Lineage: Bacteria; Pseudomonadati; Pseudomonadota; Gammaproteobacteria; Enterobacterales; Enterobacteriaceae. The record is from RNAcentral.
CGGCCUUCUGGACAGUACUGACGCUGAGAUGCGAAAGCGUGGGGAGCAAACAGGAUUAGAUACCCUGGUAGUCCACGCUGUAAACGAUGUCGAUUUGGAGUUUGUUGCCUAGAGUGAUGGGCUCCGAAGCUAACGCGAUAAAUCGACCGCUGGGGAGUACGGCCGCAAGGUUAAAACUCAAAUGAAUUGACGGGGGCCCGCACAAGCGGUGGAGCAUGUGGUUUAAUUCGAUGCAACGCGAAGAACCUUACCUGGUCUUGACAUCCAUAGAAUUCUGCAGAGAUGUGGGAGUGCCUUCGGGAACUAUGAGACAGGUGCUGCAUGGCUGUCGUCAGCUCGUGUUGUGAAAUGUUGGGUUAAGUCCCGCAACGAGCGCAACCCUUAUUCUUUGUUGCCAGCGAUUUGGUCGGGAACUCAAAGGAGACUGCCGUUGAUAAAGCGGAGGAAGGUGGGGACGACGUCAAGUCAUCAUGGCCCUUACGACCAGGGCUACACACGUGCUACAAUGGCGUAUACAAAGGGAAGCGAAGGUGCGAGCUGGAGCGGAUCUCAUAAAGUACGUCUAAGUUCGGAUUGGAGUCUGCAACUCGACUCCAUGAAGUCGGAAUCGCUAGUAAUCGUAGAUCAGAAUGCUACGGUGAAUACGUUCCCGGGCCUUGUACACACCGCCCGUCACACCAUGGGAGUGGGUUGCACCAGAAGUAGAUAGCUUAACCGCGAGGGGGGCGUUUACCACGGUGUGAUUCAUGACUGGGGUGAAGUCGUAACAAGGUAACCA